AUAUGCAAAUACACUGUAAUAAAUGUUAUAAUAUUCAUAAUGUUAAAAUCCUAUAUACAUUUUAACUGUAAAGUUAUGUAACACCUCACUUUUCUUCAAAAAGGGAUGGAAAAAAUAAGGCUUAACUCAUAGAAUUAUUUUGAGAUAAAAUGAUAUAAAAGUUCAUAUAAUAACUUAUUCAGAGAGCAUCAGUUAUCAUUGAAAUAUAUAUUAGGUUGUUUUUAUUAGCAUUUUUAAAUAUAGGUCUCAUUUGUAUGUUUUAUACAGAUUUUAGUUAAAUUUGUAAGUAAAAUUUUUGUCAAUCCCACAUUUUCAAUUUCUUUCAGCCAUGUCUUGAAUAUAUAUACACGAAAAAUCCUUAUUUUCUUUACUAGUGAAGAAUAUAGGAAAAAAUGAAAUAAUAUUGGAAGUAAUUUUUUAAAAUGAUCACUGUCCCCAGGAAGGCAGCAUUUUGCAAUAAAAAAUAAUAUUCACUAGAAAAUACAUUUUUGUUAAGUAGGAGAGUCAUCUUGGGCAAGUCACUAGUAUAACUCUCUGUAAAAAUAAGAAGUGAAUGACUUAGAUAUUCUUUAAGUGUUAUGAUUCUAAGAAUCCCACAAUAUAAAUGGAAUGGCUGAAUUUAUUACGUGUUACAAAAAAUUUAAGGAAAAUUUGCCAAGCAAACUAAAGCAAGCAUAUUUAAAUUAUAGAAGCAAAUGAGAUUAUGUUUAACUGUUCAUGAAGCUUUACUUUAAAAAAAAGUUAAGAAUGGUCUUCUUUCCAAAAAUGAAUGCAUUCAUUCUUGAGAUGAAUUAUAAUUUUGUAACAGCUCUGUUGUCUUAUCUACUCUGGGUUCAAAGCCAUGUUCUGGUUCUCUUUAGAGAACACAAUAUUUUGGAAUUUAUCCCAGCUAAUAAUCAAUGCAAGACCCUGUGGCAAAAACUCAACACAGAUGCUUAGAUAGAUGCUGAUCUUGUGAUAACUGCAGAAUUUCACUAACUCUGGUUUAGCUUCUAAUAAAUGAAUGCUGGGAUAGUUUAACAUACAGGGGCUGGAAGUAGGUAGAGGAGAUGGCCGCAACAGAUGUCAGGAACGAUAAAUGCUAAAAACCUGGAAUGUAGUUGUUGAUGGUCUGAGAUAAUGCCCCAGCAUAGUGAGUCCCAGAAACUGUCAGACAAAUAUCAAAGUGAUAAUGAUCACUUCUAUGUUUUUAUGCAACUAGGAAAAAAUUUCUUUGCACAGGAACUGCAGAUGUAUAUAAGUAGCAUGUUGUGAGAAAGUCAUUUUCAAAGGCUAGUGAUUUGUGAUUUUGUGAUAACUAUUAAUGCACUUUUGUGAUAGAGUUUAUAUUUUAUACCAGAGGAUAUGAUCCUGGCUGAACAUUGCCCUGAGAUCAAGAGUUUAUAACUUUGUUAAACAUUUUCAGUUUAAUCUCAUUGUAUCACCUAAUUUUUCUCACUAAAUCUCCUUUUUGGAUACUUGUUUGUAAGAGCCUGGAGGACAGAGACCAGUGCUCUAUUCUUUCUAUAUUUUCAUAGCCUAUAAAAUGCCUAGAAGAGUAAUUAGUAUAUGAUUAAGUUCAUGCUGAUAAAGCUUUGUAUUUAACAAUGUUCUCUAAUACAUUUUAUACCUAUUUAUUAUAAUAGUCUCAUAGUGAAAACAAAACAGAUAUUAGUUUUAUAUAGGAAAAAGAUACUGAAGUUCACAGAUUUUAAAUGAUUUGUUUGAGGUCAACAGCUCCUAAAUGAUCUAACUAGUAUUUAAGUCUCUUUCUCUUCUUUGUCAACAUAAAGCUUUUGUCAUCAUAUCACCAUGAUUUUCCCCAUUUCAGCAUGUGUGGUAACUUAGAAACCCUAAAUGGUUUCCUCUCUGACAUGACAGGGAGGUGAGCCAGAAUGAAACCCUAUGACUAAUCUAAAGUUUAUUGUAUUAUGGGGUUAGGAGAAAAGCUAUACUGAACAUCAAAGGUUCAUGUUAUGCAAGCCUAUGACUAAUUAAAAAUAUCAUAUUAUGGGGUUAGGAGAAAAGCUAUAUUGAACAUCAAACUAUUCCCAUUUAUAAGUCAUUCUAUUGAACACUUGUAAGUAGGAAUAUGGUUUAUCUCGGGAGAGCCCACCUAAAGAGAUUUCUGUCUUAAUUUAUGUCAGUUCCUUUGGACAUUAAAAAAGGUAAUGUAGAAGGAGGAUAUUAGGGAAGAAGUUAAGGGAAAUUAAGUGUGAGGAAGUCUUGACAGCAUGAGAAGAAAUGCUCUGUUAGUAAAAAUAGUGAAGAAAUAAAAAGAAAUCAGAUUGUAUUUAUUGGACUAAGAAAUAAACUAGCUUUUUCCUUAGAGAUAGGAAACAAGUUACUUCUCCUGGAUAGGUGUUCUGUCUUCAUUUGUAAAAUGGGUAUAGCAAUAUGGUGGCUGUCGGGUUAGAAUGCUGAACUCUAACCACUUGAUAUAGGUUCAUAGAACUUUGUCGCUUUGGAGCCAAGAGACUGAGGGUAGUGAGACCAUUAAGUGUUUGUUUAAAAAGAGAAGAGAGAGAAGAUAAGUUAGGAGAAAGCACAGGUGGGUGGGGGUGGGGAGAAAAAGCAAGAGAGGAAAGAAAGAGGAAGAGAGAAACAUGUGCUUUGGAGGUCCUUUAAAUCACUUGUCUGGGGGGCGGUCCUUCUAGACUUCCUCUGGUGGAUUUUCUUGCUUGUCUGUCUUUGGCCUGAUUUGGGUCCCUGCCCUCAGGAUGGAUUCUAGCACAAGGGUCUCUGGGAAGUUGACAGGAUGUACUGUGGUCUGGUGCACUGAGGAACCUUUCUGCUAGUGUGUAGUUCUAGAGGUCUCCUUGACCUCAAAAAUGAGAAGUAGAUGGUCUCUGUCUUAUAUAAGCAGGAUGCAGCUUUUAUCUUGAAGUUAUCUGUCCGCAGGUAAUAGAUUACAGUUGCCCAGCCUGGGACCCAUCUAUAUCCUGCUUAAAAAUUUCUUCUUGUACUAAGUGGAAAGGCUGACUCUAUUUUAGAUAUAUUUAACCUAUAUAUUUUAGAUAUAUUUAACCUAUAUUUAGGUAUUGACUCCCUGAAGUUUAAAUAAGACUAAUAUUAGCCAUUUUGUUAUUUUUUUAAAUGAUACCCAAAAUAAUCUUGUAAUAGUUGGGAUAAUCUCAAUGAUAGUAUACUUAGUUUAUAUAACUAAUUCCUCUUUCGUGGUGGCUAACACAAUCUGUGUUCCCAUGAAUGUCAUUCUGUUCUGGCAAACUUCCAAAAAUUUACUUUUGGGUCCACAGGGUAAGCCAAAAUUGCUUGGACACUCCUGAAUUUACUUAUCUACUUAGUUACCUCAUAAAAGAGCAAAUCUCUGUAAUGACUCUAUUACAGAACUAUUUAGUACAGAGUAGUUUAGUACUGAAGCAUAAAGUCUGGAAGAAUCUACAAAACCUAGAGUUAUGGGCAUGUCAUUUUUAGCUCUAAUUAUAUGCAGGAUUAUGCAAGAUAUCACAGUUUGUCUUCAUCACCUUUCCUUUUGAUAAAUCUUCUCUUUACUUACUGUACUCCUUCCUAGGCUUUUCUGCCUCCUCUUUGGAAUUCUGGAGUCCUGCCUGUGCCUGAAUGUCCUUGGUUCUUUUUGUUCUUUCUCUAUCAGACCUAUUAAAAUGUUGUAAAUGACAGCUUAAUCAUUAAAUUCUUAUGAAAAUAUUAACUUUAUGUUCCCUAUCCAAACCUAAUUGAUAUGUUUCUCUUCCAUUGUAAACUGCCAAUUAAUGAAAGUUUUGGUGAGAUAAUUCAUGCUAACAUCUUUAUAGUUAUUCAUAGGUGAAUGUGUAACCUUUAGAGCAAUACUUAGACUUAAGUAUUGUUACCAAACUCCAACUAACAGUGAGAUUUCUUAUAUUAACACAUAUUGGGCUUUGGGAAGGGGGUACUUCCAUAUAUUAGCAUAUAUUCCAAGCAUCCCUCAAGCACACUGUCUUGGCUAAUCACCUACUGCAGCCUUCCUGUAAAGCCAACCCUUCCCCCAGCCCUAAGAUGACCAUUAGAGAGCCCAGCUGCUGCUAGACUACCAGGCAUGCAGCCAGUUGGCUAUAAGCCUGCAGAUUUCAGUGCCAGAAUGUCACAGGAUCCUCUGGCACUUGUUUGGUAAAGUGUAGACCAGGAUUACCUGAAAUAUCUGCUUUCUUUCCUUACAAAAAUGUGCCAUGAGAAUAAAUGAGAUAAUUGAGGAGAAGCACUUUGAGAUCCUAGAAAGAAAAUGCUUGCUAUUAUUCAGGUUAUUGUUGUUUUUAGUAUUAUUAAUAAAUACUACAUUGAAGUUGACCUAAAGGUGAGAUCUGACAUUUUACUAUAGCUACUAUUUGGACAUAAAGCUUCUGCAAAAUUGGUUGCAGUUUGCUUCCGUACUGCCAAGAUGUGGUGAAAUCUCUCAUUUUAUUGAAUUCCAAGGCUGUCCUUUCCAAGUCUAUUUGUAAUGUAAACACUUUGCUUUGUAAAUAAGCAACAUUUUUCAUUGUUGACAUGUUGUAAUUUCUAAUAGAAAUGUAAGCUAAAUUGAUGAAUUCAUUAGAAGGCAUAUUCUAAGGUGAUGCUCAUUUAUUUUCAAGGGAAGAAUACUACAUGAAUGCCUAGUUUGUUUCUAUUUUUGUUUUCAUGCUGUGUAAAACAAUGAAGAAACCUCAAAUAGCCAAAGGGGGGAAAAUAGGCGAUUAGGAGCCGUGACUUGGAG
Molecule: long non-coding RNA, 4669 nt
Filed under: Sus scrofa (pig)
Lineage: Eukaryota; Metazoa; Chordata; Mammalia; Artiodactyla; Suidae
Description: lncRNA (ENSSSCG00000052008.1)
Source: RNAcentral